CCACACCUACCAAUUAUGGCCAUCGAGUACUGACGAUCAAAGCGAGCAUGAAGCGAGGGACCUGGAGGCUGGAAAGGCACUCAAGUCAUGGUAGCUAGCUCUGGGGACCUGGCCACUGAUCUGAUGGUCAACCAUAGAUUAUCAAACUAAAGGUAAUUAAAUGCGUGCAUAAUCAUAGUUAGGAAAAGUAAUUUUAGAGCCACUUCCAUUUGAUAUACUAUUACCGUAGGCGGAGGGACUCCAUCAGAGUGUCAUAUUAUGCCUCAGGUCAUUCAUGGUACUGGAAAUGAGGGUCUAAUGUAUUUCAGCUAGCAUGUCUCGGAAGACAGAAAAAUUUAAAAACUUAACGGUGAUCAAACUUUUGGCAGCAUUGAUUUACAGUUUGCACAUAGAUACAUAUAAAAAUGUGACCAAGAUGUGACUAUUUUAAUUGUUUGUACAAAAAGAUUAUUAUAGUGUG
Molecule: long non-coding RNA, 460 nt
Organism: Amphimedon queenslandica
Lineage: Eukaryota; Metazoa; Porifera; Demospongiae; Haplosclerida; Niphatidae
Exons: 3
Source: RefSeq, a predicted model, not a curated record